ACAAGGAGGUCCCAGUGCCGAUGCACGGGGAGGCGGAUGCACAGGGAGGUCCCGGUGCCGGUGCACGACGAGGUGGGUGCACGACGAGGCUGAUGCACGAGGAGGCCCCGGUCCUGGUGCACGAGAGCGGCCGGUGCAAGGCGAGCUGGUGCACGGGGAGGCUGAUGCACAAGGAAGUCCCAGUGCCAAUGCACGAGGCAGCUGAUGCACGAGGAGGCAGGUGCACGAGGAGGCUGGUGCACGGGGACCAUCCUGCUUCCGGUGCACGUGGCUGCUGCUGCACGGAGAGUCCAGUGCACGGGGAAUCCUGUGCACGAGGAGGCCAGUGCACGGGGAGGUGAUGCCUCCUGGUGCACGGGGACACCGGUGCAUGGGGAGAUGUUGCACGGGCAAUCCGGUGCACGGAGAGUCCGGUGCACGGGGAGAUGUUGCACGGGGACCAUUUGCUCCCGGUGCACAGGGAAUCCGGUGCACGGAGAGUCCGGUGCACGGGGAGAUGAUGCACGGGGAAUCUGGUGCAUGGGGAGAUGUUGCACGGGGAAUCUGGUGCACGGAGAGUCCGGUGCACGGGGAGGUGCUGCACGGGGACUGUCCGACUCCCGUUGCACGAGGACGCCGGUGCACGGGGAGACGUUGCACGGGGGAAUCUGGUGCACAGAGAGUCCGGCGCCCGGGGAGCCGCUGCACCGG
This 690-nucleotide long non-coding RNA is filed under the name Struthio camelus australis. Its description in RNAcentral is "lncRNA (ENSSCUG00000005587.1)". The record is from RNAcentral. Lineage: Eukaryota; Metazoa; Chordata; Aves; Struthioniformes; Struthionidae.